Molecule: ribosomal RNA, 802 nt
Filed under: uncultured Alphaproteobacteria bacterium
Lineage: Bacteria; Pseudomonadati; Pseudomonadota; Alphaproteobacteria
Description: bacterial SSU rRNA
Rfam family: Bacterial small subunit ribosomal RNA
Source: RNAcentral
AGAGUUUGAUCCUGGCUCAGAACGAACGCUGGCGGCAUGCUUAACACWSMAAGUCGAACGAGAUCUUCGGAUCUAGUGGCGCACGGGUSAGUAACGCGUGGGAACCUACCAUUCUGUACGGAAUAACGCUUGGAAACGAGCGCUAAUACCGUAUACGCCCUGUGGGGGAAAGGUCCGCCGCAGAAUGAGGGGCCCGCGUCCGAUUAGUUUGUUGGUAAGGUAAAGGCUUACCAAGGCUACGAUCGGUAGCUGGUCUGAGAGGAUGAUCAGCCACACUGGGACUGAGACACGGCCCAGACUCCUACGGGAGGCAGCAGUGGGGAAUAUUGGACAAUGGGGGCAACCCUGAUCCAGCAAUGCCGCGUGUGUGAUGAAGGCCCUAGGGUUGUAAAGCACUUUCAAUGGUGAAGAUGAUGACGGUAGCCAUACAAGAAGCCCCGGCUAACUUCGUGCCAGCAGCCGCGGUAAUACGAAGGGGGCGAGCGUUGUUCGGAAUUACUGGGCGUAAAGGGCGCGCAGGCGGUCAAUUUAGUUAGGUGUGAAAGCCCCGGGCUCAACCUGGGAACUGCACUUGAUACUGGUUGACUAGAAAACGGAAGAGGGCAGUGGAAUUCCCAGUGUAGAGGUGAAAUUCGUAGAUAUUGGGAAGAACACCAGUGGCGAAAGCGGCUGCCUGGUCCGAUUUUGACGCUGAGGCGCGAAAGCGUGGGAGCAAACAGGAUUAGAUACCUGUAGUCACGCGUAACGAUGAUGCUAGUGUCGGUGCUCAGCACUCGUGACGCGCUACGCAUAGCAUCGCUGG